This is an RNA transcript of Homo sapiens (human), 1948 nucleotides long. It is a transcript of the gene named ARF interacting protein 2, with no coding region annotated. The transcript is spliced from 9 exons. NCBI's taxonomy places the organism in Eukaryota, Metazoa, Chordata, Mammalia, Primates, Hominidae. The record is from RefSeq and is marked validated.
GAGUCCCUGACCUGCUGCUAGGAUCGCGACGGGAACUGGAGCCCGAGGUCCCCGCGCGGCCCGGGCCUGGCGCCCUGAGGGGAAGAGCGGCCCGGCCCGAGGGUGCUGGGGUGGAGAGUUUUACUCCAAUACCUUUCCUAGCCAUGACGGACGGGAUCCUAGGGAAGGCAGCCACAAUGGAGAUCCCUAUCCACGGGAACGGCGAAGCCAGGCAGCUUCCUGAAGAUGAUGGGCUGGAGCAGACUUCCCUUGUGUACUAUCUUUAUGAUGCUUGAAUCCAAACUUGUUCCCACCUCCAAAAUGCUUCUGCAGCCCCUAUGUUCCUGAAGCAACCCCUCUUCUCUGGCCUAUAGGACCUCCAGCAGGUGAUGGUGUCAGGACCCAACCUCAAUGAAACCAGCAUUGUGUCUGGUGGCUAUGGGGGCUCUGGUGAUGGACUCAUCCCCACAGGGUCUGGCCGCCAUCCAUCUCACAGCACCACUCCUUCUGGCCCUGGAGAUGAGGUGGCUCGGGGCAUUGCUGGAGAAAAGUUUGACAUCGUCAAGAAAUGGGGCAUCAACACCUAUAAGUGCACAAAGCAACUGUUAUCAGAACGAUUUGGUCGAGGCUCACGGACUGUGGACCUGGAGCUAGAGCUGCAGAUUGAGUUGCUGCGUGAGACGAAGCGCAAGUAUGAGAGUGUCCUGCAGCUGGGCCGGGCACUGACAGCCCACCUCUACAGCCUGCUGCAGACCCAGCAUGCACUGGGUGAUGCCUUUGCUGACCUCAGCCAGAAGUCCCCAGAGCUUCAGCCCACAGGGAGAACCCCUUCAGGGUGGGCCCAGCCCUACCCCCAGCAGCACUCACCUGUGGAGGCAGCCUAAGGGAGGAAUUUGGCUACAAUGCAGAGACACAGAAACUACUAUGCAAGAAUGGGGAAACGCUGCUAGGAGCCGUGAACUUCUUUGUCUCUAGCAUCAACACAUUGGUCACCAAGACCAUGGAAGACACGCUCAUGACUGUGAAACAGUAUGAGGCUGCCAGGCUGGAAUAUGAUGCCUACCGAACAGACUUAGAGGAGCUGAGUCUAGGCCCCCGGGAUGCAGGGACACGUGGUCGACUUGAGAGUGCCCAGGCCACUUUCCAGGCCCAUCGGGACAAGUAUGAGAAGCUGCGGGGAGAUGUGGCCAUCAAGCUCAAGUUCCUGGAAGAAAACAAGAUCAAGGUGAUGCACAAGCAGCUGCUGCUCUUCCACAAUGCUGUGUCCGCCUACUUUGCUGGGAACCAGAAACAGCUGGAGCAGACCCUGCAGCAGUUCAACAUCAAGCUGCGGCCUCCAGGAGCUGAGAAACCCUCCUGGCUAGAGGAGCAGUGAGCUGCUCCCAGCCCAACUUGGCUAUCAAGAAAGACAUUGGGAAGGGCAGCCCCAGGGUGUGGGAGAUUGGACAUGGUACAUCCUUUGUCACUUGCCCUCUGGCUUGGGCUCCUUUUUCUGGCUGGGGCCUGACACCAGUUUUGCCCACAUUGCUAUGGUGGGAAGAGGGCCUGGAGGCCCAGAAGUUGCUGCCCUGUCUAUCUUCCUGGCCACAGGGCUUCAUUCCCAGAUCUUUUCCUUCCACUUCACAGCCAACGGCUAUGACAAAACCACUCCCUGGCCAAUGGCAUCACUCUUCAGGCUGGGGUGUGCUCCCUGACCAAUGACAGAGCCUGAAAAUGCCCUGUCAGCCAAUGGCAGCUCUUCUCGGACUCCCCUGGGCCAAUGAUGUUGCGUCUAAUACCCUUUGUCUCUCCUCUAUGCGUGCCCAUUGCAGAGAAGGGGACUGGGACCAAAGGGGUGGGGAUAAUGGGGAGCCCCAUUGCUGGCCUUGCAUCUGAAUAGGCCUACCCUCACCCACCCACCCAGUUUAAUUGUGCUUAGAGCCCAAGAAGAUUGGGAUCUAGCACUAGGAAUAAACCUUUCAUAAAAGCA